UACGAAGGGGACUAGCGUUGUUCGGAAUUACUGGGCGUAAAGCGCUCGUAGGCGGCUUUGUUAGUCAGGGGUGAAAUCCCGGGGCUCAACCUCGGAACCGCCUUUGAUACUGCAAGUCUCGAGUCCGAUAGAGGUGGGUGGAAUUCCUAGUGUAGAGGUGAAAUUCGUAGAUAUUAGGAAGAACACCGGUGGCGAAGGCGGCCCACUGGAUCGGUACUGACGCUGAGGUGCGAAAGCGUGGGGAGCAAACCGG
Molecule: ribosomal RNA, 253 nt
Filed under: uncultured bacterium
Lineage: Bacteria
Description: partial 16S ribosomal RNA
Rfam family: Bacterial small subunit ribosomal RNA
Source: RNAcentral